GUACAACUUUGAGCGGUGGAUCACUCGGCUCGUGUGUCGAUGAAGAGUGCAGCUAACUGUGUGAAUUAAUGUGAAGUGUAGUCUGCUCAGAACAUCGACAUCUUGAACGCAAAUAGCGGCCGUAGCUCCGUCUAUGGCCACGUCUGUCCGAGGGUCG
RNAcentral lists this ribosomal RNA (157 nucleotides) under Didymocystis scomberomori. RNAcentral describes it as "5.8S ribosomal RNA". It matches the Rfam family "5.8S ribosomal RNA". Rfam says of the family: 5.8S ribosomal RNA (5.8S rRNA) is a component of the large subunit of the eukaryotic ribosome. It is transcribed by RNA polymerase I as part of the 45S precursor that also contains 18S and 28S rRNA. Functionally, it is thought that 5.8S rRNA may be involved in ribosome translocation. The record is from RNAcentral. RNAcentral also lists the same sequence under 1 other name. Lineage: Eukaryota; Metazoa; Platyhelminthes; Trematoda; Azygiida; Didymozoidae.